GUGGAAAUCUGGACGGAAAGGUUAAUCAAAUAUGUUCAGAAGAAUGUGGAUAUCUCCUUAUACCUUGUUACUGAAUCUUGCUGCUUCUUCACCAGCAACUCACUGCUGAAGGGUAGCCGCCACCACUGCAAGUGGUUUUAGGUAUCCUCUGAUGGCCUCUUAUUCCAUGACAUUCUGUGGCUGCCCACUGUUCUGCUCUUAACAGCUGCAGCCAGGAGCUCCUCUGGAGACAAUUUCCUGAAAAAGAAACUACUGAAAAGUAAACAAAAUAAGAUAUUGAACUCUACAUAACUUGUGAAGACUGAAUGCUGACUCUGAGGGGAAAGAGACCCUGCCAGCCAAAGAGGUAUCAAAUCUAGAUAGUUCCACAUGAUGCAGGAGAAAAAAAAACAUCUACUAGAUGAGAUUUCUGUUAUGGCUCAAGGAAUAUAUUUUUGGUGAACAAUGUGUUCACCAAUUUUAGCCAUUAUUCAGUGUACAUGUUAUUGUCAAAUAACUGUUCGUGUGAUUUGACCAGAUCUGGUUUCUAAAUACAUUCCCCUAUUUCACUCCGAAAUUGCAGUUUGUGUAUACACCCUUCAAAUACUUGUAUGUGUUUAUCAUGACCUCUGUUAGUCACCACUUUGUCAAACUAUGCAAAUUUUACUCCUCUAUUCUCUUUGGAUUAAAAAAAAAUUCUCCUCC
Long non-coding RNA from Mauremys reevesii (Reeves's turtle), 684 nucleotides. RefSeq lists it as uncharacterized. Lineage: Eukaryota; Metazoa; Chordata; Testudines; Geoemydidae. The transcript is spliced from 2 exons. The record is from RefSeq and is a predicted model, not a curated record.